GUGCUUAACACAUGCAAGUCGAACGGUGAAAGGUGGAGCUUGCUCUGCUGGAUCAGUGGCGAACGGGUGAGUAACACGUGAGUAACCUGCCCCUCACUUCGGGAUAACCUCGGGAAAUCGUGGCUAAUACCGGAUACGAGGCACCYUUCGCAUGGGGUGUGCCUGGAAAGAUUUAUCGGUGGGGGAUGGACUCGCGGCCUAUCAGCUUGUUGGUGGGGUAAUGGCCCACCAAGGCGACGACGGGUAGCCGGCCUGAGAGGGCGACCGGCCACACUGGGACUGAGAUACGGCCCAGACUCCUACGGGAGGCAGCAGUGGGGAAUAUUGCACAAUGGGCGCAAGCCUGAUGCAGCGACGCCGCGUGGGGGAUGAAGGCCUUCGGGUUGUAAACCCCUUUCAGCAGGGAAGAAGCGAGAGUGACGGUACCUGCAGAAGAAGCGCCGGCUAACUACGUGCCAGCAGCCGCGGUAAUACGUAGGGCGCAAGCGUUGUCCGGAAUUAUUGGGCGUAAAGAGCUCGUAGGCGGUUUGUCGCGUCUGGUGUGAAAACUCAAGGCUCAACCUUGAGCUUGCACCGGGUACGGGCAGACUAGAGUGCGGUAGGGGUGACUGGAAUUCCUGGUGUAGCGGUGGAAUGCGCAGAUAUCAGGAGGAACACCGAUGGCGAAGGCAGGUCACUGGGCCGCAACUGACGCUGAGGAGCGAAAGCAUGGGGAGCGAACAGGAUUAGAUACCCUGGUAGUCCAUGCCGUAAACGUUGGGCACUAGGUGUGGGGCUCAUUCCACGAGUUCCGUGCCGCAGCAAACGCAUUAA
This 813-nucleotide ribosomal RNA is filed under the name Flavimobilis soli. RNAcentral's name for it is "bacterial SSU rRNA". It matches the Rfam family "Bacterial small subunit ribosomal RNA", at positions 44 to 863 of the family's 1533-position model. The record is from RNAcentral. Lineage: Bacteria; Bacillati; Actinomycetota; Actinomycetes; Micrococcales; Jonesiaceae.